Schistocerca nitens (vagrant locust) is the source of this 2504-nucleotide long non-coding RNA. RefSeq lists it as uncharacterized. The record is from RefSeq and is a predicted model, not a curated record. NCBI's taxonomy places the organism in Eukaryota, Metazoa, Arthropoda, Insecta, Orthoptera, Acrididae. The transcript is spliced from 3 exons.
UUUGGGUACAUUUUUGGCAGAUUUGAACUCCCCCUUAAAAUGGAGAUAUAACUGUAGGGCAUAGCAUAUAUUUGUUAUGCUACAUUAAAAGAGUACUAGUGGUUUUGUGUUGAAGUGUUUAAUGUAUAUUGUCGGUCAGUAAGUCAGAGCACUUUGUUCCAGUUAUAGCUCCAGAAGUCAGUCACCAGCAGCAGAUGUCACACAGUUAUAAAAUGGGAAACUUGAAGAAUAAGGUACUAGUGGUUUGGAUACAUGUGUGGGAAAUUUCACCUUUCACUUAAAAUGAAGGUACAGUUACAGUCCUUAAGAGUAUACUGGCAAAUGGUAACUCAAAGCUCUUUGUUUCUGUUACAGCUCCAGAAGUCAGCAGCAGCAGCAGCAGACGUCACACAGCCAUAAUGCGAGAAGCUUGAAGAAUAAUGUGUUAUGGCUCCGAUAGUCUUCCAGCAGCAGCAAAUGUUACACAGUCCUAUAGAGGCAAACUUGAAGUAUAAAGUAAUAGUGUUUUGCAUACAAUGGCAAACUUGACCUUUCGCUUAAAAUGGAGUAUCGGCUUUGAAAUUUGGUCACUGGAUACAACUAUUUUAUCUUUCAUGUUGAUAGCAGCAAUCAUCAGAUUGCAAUCCAGUUAAGUACCUGCGAGGCAUGAGAUGUCAAAAAUACUUGUGGGUUAUUGGUAGCCUGUGUCAAGGCAUGUGGCACCUCAAAGUUUGUAAGUACAGUAGCAUUUUGUUUUCUGCUUUACUUAAAAAUUGGUAGCUGUAGCACCCAUUCUGACAUUCAAUUAUUUUGAAUUUCAAUUUUCUUAGAAUGAUACUGACAUCAGUUUGUUAACACUAAUCCGUAUAUUAUUGUUAAUAUAUGCUGCUAUUUUCCUCAGAUGUUAACUGAAAUUGUUUUAUUGUUAUGAUAACAACACUUCAGCCUUUGCAAACUUGCAGUAUAGGUUACCUGCUGAGAAAUAUUUACUGGAAGAAAUGGUUUCUUGAAUAGGACCGAAAGGAAAACCACUGAAAAUGCCAAACGUGAAUUGGUGAAACAUCUUGUGCUCAAUACUAAAUUUCAUUUGCAAAACACGGAAGUUGUCCUAUCUUUGUGGUGGAACACAACAAAUUCUCAUAAUUUUGCUAGUUUGUAUUCUAGAAAGGGUGCCAGAAAUGGAAGAGUAUAAUUUUUAUUAAAUCGGGCAUUAAAUGUAAGUAGGUUGGAGUACGGAAAGCGUGCAACUGGCCUUCCCCACUGUAGCCUGAUGUGCAGGUGGUUAUAACACUAGUAUCAAACUGCAUGGUACCCACUUACUAAUGUGACCUACGCUUGCAUGAUCUUCUGCAGACAGCAAGAAAUCCGCUACUGCUCUUACUACCUGUCCAACAGUUGUGGAGGAUUUUUUCCCCUUGGUGCUUGACAUGACAUGUUUUGCCCUCUGCCCUUAAAAUCUCAAUUCUUGUUACAUUUUUCAUCCAUUUUCUAUCUCCUGAUGGACCUGUAUUGAUUAAAAAACUAAUCACUGCAGAGGUGAUUGUAGAACUUUUGCUAGUGGCAGUGUGGAGGGGCUCCACUCUUUAAAAAAUAAAAUUACAUUGUGGGACAUGGAAUUAUUAUUAGAUGCUUUCAUGGACAUUUUGUUUACUCAAAAAGUCAGUCAUUAUCUGAGGUAUUUAAAUGUUAACUUCAAAUCUAAAACUGCAUCAAAAGAUAAAUUUCAGUGAGUCUUUAACAAGUUUCAGUAUCUUGCUUCACAUGCUGGACACUCCAACUAUAAAAAACAGUGUUUUGCAGAGAACAGCUAUUCAGAUGUUAACAUCCCAGAAUUUGUGUAAAAGAUAUCCCUUACAUUGUUAGUUUCAUUGUGGUCACACUCUGCAGUGUAGUGUUAUCAGCAUACAUAUAGAAGUUUGAAGAACAUAUUAAAUUAAUUGCUAGACAUGCCUUAAGUGAAUAUGUUUACUACUAAUAUGAGUCAGCUAAGUAGUUGCUGCAAGUUUUUAUGUUGUUUCUAAAGUGUCAUUAGACAAGGAUAUUUCUGCUGUUUGUUUCCUGUUCUUCUGUUUCAGAUAACUACUCAUAUAUGCAGCAACUGCUGAAGCAGCCUCUGGCAGUUUAUUGAAGUUCCGUGAACAAAGUGCUGUGUGGUCUGUUUGUGUAAAGUGGUAAAGAAAAAUGUUAAAGUGUAAUUGCAUAUAUAUUUAAUCAUUAUUUUUGCUAGUUGUAAGAUCUAUUUUCAUGUAAAUCAGAACAUUGUAUAAUAGGUAACAACCGAAUGAGGCAGUGUAGCUAUUAACAGCACUGACCUCAUAUUUGGGAGGAUGGGGUUCGCUCUGUCUGGCCAUCCUGGAUCGCUAAGGCAAAUGCCGGGAUGGUUCCUUCAUCAAGGCCACGGCUGACCACCUGUCCCGCCCUUAGAGAUCCUUUAAACAUUGUGUGUAUACCCAUAUUUUGAAUUAUUGAUGUUUGUUGUAUUAUGUUGAGAUAUUCUUGGAUGAAAUAAAAAAAGUUUAUACAUU